AGAUCACUAUAAAUCGUUUUC
Molecule: small nuclear RNA, 21 nt
Filed under: Arabidopsis thaliana (thale cress)
Lineage: Eukaryota; Viridiplantae; Streptophyta; Magnoliopsida; Brassicales; Brassicaceae
Description: snRNA_02615
Source: RNAcentral